UUUAAUAUGGCAGAUUAGUGCAAAGGACUUAAACUCCUUUUAUAAAGAAUUUAUUCUUUUAUUAAAU
Molecule: transfer RNA, 67 nt
Filed under: Meranoplus bicolor
Lineage: Eukaryota; Metazoa; Arthropoda; Insecta; Hymenoptera; Formicidae
Description: tRNA-Leu
Rfam family: tRNA
About the family: Transfer RNA (tRNA) molecules are approximately 80 nucleotides in length.
Source: RNAcentral